RNAcentral lists this ribosomal RNA (1310 nucleotides) under Chthamalus challengeri. Its description in RNAcentral is "16S ribosomal RNA". The stretch from base 567 to 1310 matches the Rfam family "Archaeal large subunit ribosomal RNA", at positions 1423 to 2829 of the family's 2987-position model. The record is from RNAcentral. Lineage: Eukaryota; Metazoa; Arthropoda; Thecostraca; Balanomorpha; Chthamalidae.
UUAAUUAAAAUCGUUAGAAUAAUAAAUGAUAUUAGAAAUAUAAUUUAGAUUAGUAAAAUUUAUGAAAUUCAUUUUUAGCGAUAGAAAACAAGUACUGUGAAGGAAAUUAUGAAAAAUUUGAAAUAUUUUAUAAUAGAAAAGUACAUUUUAAUAAAGGUAACUUUUGUAUCAGCGAUUAUUAAAUUAUAAAUUUAAAAUAUUUUAUCUCGAAAAUAAAAAGAUCUAUAUAAAUUAGUUGGUUUUUGUGUCAACAAGAUCAAAUAAAUUUAUAUAGGGGUGAAACAUUAAACGAUUUUAUUAAUAUCUAGUAACUUCAAAAAUAAAUUUAGUUUAGGGUGAUUAGUUAUCUAUCUUACUAAAAGAUUGAUAAAUUAUUUACUCUUAUAUUUUAGGGGAUGAGCUCUAGAAUAAAAAUAUAAAACAUACGCACAUCUUUGUUUUUUAUAUAGGCCCAGAAUUAGCCAUAAGAAAGUGUUAUAAGUUAGAAAUUUAAGUUAACGAUUUAUUUGUUUUUAGUUCUUUAUGAAGUUAUUUUUUAACAAUAAAAAAAAAGAAAAUAUGAUAAUAUUAGUAGAUAAUUUUCUUAUGGAAAAUAUUUAAGUUUUCCUAUAUUUUACUUAGGAAUGUAUAUAAUAAAAGAACUCGGCAAAAACGAUUUCCGAAUGUUUAACAAAAACAUUUCCUCUUAGAAUAGGAGGUAAAGCCUGCUCACUGAAAAUUAAAGAGCCGCAGUAUUUUGACUGUGCUAAGGUAGCAUAAUCAUUAGUCUUUUAAUUGGAGACUGGUAUGAAUGGCUAAACGAGAAAUCUUCUUUUUUUAUUAUAAAUAUCGAAUUUAUUUUUUUAGUGAAAAAACUAAAAUAUUCCUGAAAGACGAGAAGACCCUAUAGAGUUUUAUAUAGUAAACUAUCAUAUUGUAUUAGAUCUGAUUCGAUUUGAUUUUAUUCUGUAAUUUGUUGGGGCGACAUUAAGAUAAAAAAAACUCUUUUUUAUAAAAACUUUGAUAAAUGAAUAACUUGAUCCUUUAAAAAAGAUAAUAAGAUAAAAUUACCUUAGGGAUAACAGCGUAAUCUUUUUUGAGAGUUCUAAUCGACAAAAAGGUUUGCGACCUCGAUGUUGGACUAAAAUUUAGAUGUGGUGCAGCAGCUACAUUUUAGGGUCUGUUCGACCCAUAAUAUUUUACAUGAUCUGAGUUCAGACCGGCGUGAGCCAGGUUGGUUUCUAUCUUCUGGUAUAAUAGAAUUAGUUUAGUACGAAAGGAUUGAUUAAUUAUAAUAGUUAUAGAUAAAGAAUAUUAGUAAAAUUUUUUAU